UACUCGAAAGAAUGACUAUACAACUUUCUAAUAAUGUUUGUUUGUUUUCUUAUAGUUAUAUUCUGCACCAAAAGGUCGACUCGGACCCAAGAAGGUGACAAUACUGUCCCCGGCUCUGUGCCAAAUGAUGUUGAUGAUAUUGAAAAGAGACUUGCUUCUCUUCGACGCAUUUGAUAUGUGAGACAUUGCAUCCAGACGAGGACCAGAAGUCUUUUGUGUAUAGUCUUGUAUCGUCUUUAUAAAUGUUAGUAGGGCUCAGAAUCAUUUAUCUCUUGGCGAUUCGAGUGAUUUUGUGAAGGUUCAAGAGGUAAUUUAAUUAGUUUUUGUCUAAUUGAUCAAUGUUAACUUCUUUUGAUUCUGAGUUCCUAAAUUUAGGGUCUAAUAUUUUAAACGAAGUUUCACUUUGGUGAUUCAGUGUUCUUAAGUUUAGUGUUUGAUAUGUUAAAACGAAGUUUGAUUUUGGUGAUUCAUUGUUCUUUAAUUGAAGGUUACAUAUUUUUAACGAGGUUUAAUUUUGGUGUUUUACUUGAACCACCAUCAACAAGAAUCUUAUGACUUCAAAUCAGGCUUUCGUUUGGUUGUAUCUAGGGUUUGAUUGUCGUUUCCAUGGGUUCAAGGGUUUUUUUGUUUAUUUUUUUAGAGGAUUCAUUUGGAACACAAGUUUGAUUGACUAAUAUGUACAUUUUUAUAUGGUUUGUUUGAAAUUAUGUUGGAUUGACUAAUAUGUAUGCUUGGAUCUACUAUUAACAACAAUCUGGUAAUUCCAUUGCUCCUUAAUCUUACCUUUUUGUUCAGAUUUCUACAAAAAAAUCUUUGAAAUAUUUGGGAUUAUAACAACUUUUUAACAAGCCUAUGCAUCUUUAUAUGUUAGCUUUAAUAUGAGUUAUAAUCACGCUCUUAAUUAUUUUCUAUUUUUUAUUACAAUUAGAGGAGCCAUGUAGGUUAGAGAAAAUUAGGCUAACUUGUCCGAGUAGUACACAUUAGAUUAUUUGACCAUGUAAUGCAUUUAAUGCACCAUUUGAUAUAAGCGAGCAUUCCCACUAGUAUACCCUUAAAUAAAUUACUUUUAAUUAAAAUUGAUUUUUUAAAUCAAGUUAAUAUCUUGAAUGUCUCGUGGCAACAUUGCUUAUUUAAAAUCUUUACAUUAGCAUUCGUGUUACUUUAUCUCUAAGUUGACAAGUAUGGUUUAAAUUAAAUUUGUGAAACCUUCUUACAAAAUCCACCUUUCCUUUUCACACACACACACAUCUAUAUAUAUAAUAAACAAAACCAUUGGGGGACACAUGUCACCCAAUGGUUGAUGCCAAAUAAGCAGCCAUGUCAUCAUACACUUGGCAUAACUCAUAGAUUAGGAUUGAAUAUAGCUUCUAACAUACGCUACUCUCUCUCAUUCUCUCAUAACCCUAAUCAAAGUCUCUCUUUUCUCUUCUCUGGCGAACACGAUGACCGAACAUCAAAUAAUUUUGAUCAAGAAUCAACGUAUUUGAAGAUCUAACUCUACGGAAAUCAAAUCUUCGAGAUCAAAUCGGCGAUUUAGUGAAGAGGUAUAAUCAAUCUUCAUUAGAUAAUAGUCUUCCUUGACGAAUAAGAAUGAAGGUGUGCUUGGGUGACGGCUGGAUCUGGAUGUUAUUUAGGGUUUUGCUUGAAGUUUGCAGGUUCAGUUACCGGAAGGAGUGGAUCCAUUCAUACACAUCACUCGAAAUGAGCGUUCAGGGCGAAAGGAAGCAACGGCUGAUCCAAGGUAUGCUGAUUGCUGAAGUUUGUAUGUACUUUUCUACGUGUUGAAAUUUAGCGUUACAUGAGAAUAAGAUAGAUAUAUAUGCUAGAGCAAGGGAGACGACAGAGAUAGUGCAUUCUCCAAACAACUGCGAUGAUGACGGAUUUGGUUUUGACCGGGCUGCGAUAAAGUUUUCUAAAUGUGGUCAGAGUCGGUGGAGAUGGCAAUGGGUCGGGAUGGGACGGGUAUGGCAAAUCUCAUACGCAUACCGGCCCAAAACUCGUCAGGUAUUUAUGCGGUAAUUACCCGUCGGGUAUCAGGUAAUGGGUAUGUCCAUUAGUGUGUUUAAAAAAUAUGCGCUGAGAUUUAUAUAUAAAGAAAAAUUACAUGAUCAUAUGUACACAUAUAAUAUUAUAUUUUUCCUUUUUUGUGGUUUUAUUUAUUUUUUUUAACGGCUAUUUUUUCCCUUUAAAUACUUACAUCUCCCAAGGAUUGGACCUUGGUCUCUUCACAAGAGAUAAUUUCUCUUGACCACUAGGUUAUAGCCUAAGUGGCUUUUGUGGUUUUAUUUCUUAAAAAGGCCUAUAGAAAACACUAGGUUAUAGCCUAAGUGGCUUAAAAAUUAAUCAAAUCCAUAGUAAAUAUUUCCGGCUACUUUCUUGAUUUUCCGGCAAUUUUCUUUAUUUUCAGGCAACUAUUAUUUUUUUCCUUUUUUUUCGUAUUUUUGAUAGAAAAUGUGUGAGGUUUUAUGAAGCAAAACAUUGAGUUUUAUAUAAAAGUUUAGGUAUGGAACAUGAGUUAUUCUGUUUGUUGAAUGAACGUGACAGCAACCCCGACAGGAAUGCAUGAUAGUCAAACUCAAAAGCUUGAGCUUGAGCACAUUUUUGACGUCGAUCAUUUUAUUACGUCUUUGAGAGAUGAAGUCCGGAUACUUAAAGAGCUUCCGCCAAGGCUUAAACAGAGAGUUGAAUUAGGAAUUGUGCAUACCAUGCCUCCUGUUAGUUUGUCUGAUAUCUAUUACUAUCAUAAUCAGUACAAAGUUGUGCACUUGAACAAAACCGAUGCUCGGCUUGCCAAUAACGGUCAAUCCCUUGAACUUCAAAAGCUAAGGUGAUGUAUGAUGCGAGUGGUGUAAGAUUGGAAGCAAGACGCCAAGCGGAGGUUCUCAAUCAAAUCGUGUAUGAACUUCCUGCCGAACAUCCUUUAGCUGAAGAAUGCUAUUACAUGAACUUCUUGGUCACACCCCUCCUUAGGUAAUUGCUGUGAUAGAUGGAGUUACGGUACAGAAGAUGCGAAUCACGUUUUUGUUAAUUGUAUUUGGGCCCGAAGUAUAUGGUGGCAAAUUGCGGUUUGGAUGUGCAUACCCCCUCUGACUAAUAUGUGUAGUUUAAAGGAAGUGGUGAAAGCUUUGACUGGCAACAUAGGGUCGGCUAGAUGGAAGAGAGUCGUCUACAUGGUUAUUCAGGCUACAAUGUGGCAAACCUGGAAUGCAAGGAAUCUUAAAGUUUUUGAGGGGCAGUUUGUUCCAACCCGGAGAACUGUCGAUCUCAUAAAAGAAGACGUUUUCCUUUGGAUUUCUCAUCGAAUGAAGUUACCAAAGCUGGACUGGGAUAAGUGGGCUGAGUUUAGUGUUUCGGAAAUUUUGUAAUGGCUGUGCUUUUGUUUUCUGUUUCCUUUCCGUUUCUUUGUAGUUGUUUUGUGUUUUCAGCCCCUUGCUGGUUCUAUUUAUAUAUAUAAAUAGUGAGUUGCCGUUCAAAAAAAAAAAAACGAAAUAUUCCGGCAUUUGAA
This is an RNA transcript of Helianthus annuus (common sunflower), 3505 nucleotides long. RefSeq lists it as uncharacterized. The record is from RefSeq and is a predicted model, not a curated record. The transcript has 11 exons. Lineage: Eukaryota; Viridiplantae; Streptophyta; Magnoliopsida; Asterales; Asteraceae.